GGUUUCCGUAGGUGAACCUGCGGAAGGAUCAUUAUAGAAAAUGACGUGAACUCUUAACGGAGUUCUCUCAAAGUGUUGGAGGGGAAGGCCUGCGCUUAAUUGCGCGGCUGUUUUUAAUCUCCUCCGCCUUUGAUACACACAUUGGAGUUUCUACUUUUUUGUUCUCUUUGGGAGGGUUCUGCUCUCCCAGAGGUAAACACAAACAAUCUUUUAUUAUACUAUUAACACAGUCAAAUGAAUUUUAAAAACAAAAUAUUCAAAACUUUCAACAACGGAUCUCUUGGUUCUCGCAUCGAUGAAGAACGCAGCGAACUGCGAUACGUAAUGUGAAUUGCAGAAUUCCGUGAAUCAUCGAAUCUUUGAACGCACAUUGCGCCCCUUGGUAUUCCGGGGGGCAUGCCUGUUUGAGCGUCAUUUCCCUCUCAAACUUUACGUUUGGUAGUGAGCGAUACUCUACUCUGGAGUUUGCUUGAAAAUGGGAGGCCAUAGGCGAAGCAUUGCUUUCCAAUCCUGCGGCCCUCUGCUUACUUCCCCUUGUGGGUUGUGGCAGGGGAAAGCGGGAGGCGCCUUGCCACGAUAGUCGUAUUAGGUUUUACCGACUCGGCGAAAGUGAAGAGGUUUGCUUUUUAAAAAGAAGCAGGCAGCGUCUGGCUUGACAAAAUUCUCAAAGUUUGACCUCAAAUCAGGUAGGAUUAC
Molecule: ribosomal RNA, 696 nt
Filed under: Zygosaccharomyces rouxii
Lineage: Eukaryota; Fungi; Ascomycota; Saccharomycetes; Saccharomycetales; Saccharomycetaceae
Description: eukaryotic LSU rRNA
Rfam family: 5.8S ribosomal RNA (bases 261-414)
Source: RNAcentral